This is a long non-coding RNA of Malaclemys terrapin pileata, 2370 nucleotides long. RefSeq lists it as uncharacterized. Lineage: Eukaryota; Metazoa; Chordata; Testudines; Emydidae. The transcript has 3 exons. The record is from RefSeq and is a predicted model, not a curated record.
CACCCCUACUCCAUAACCCCCCAGAAUACAGUGGUUACCUCCACAGACCCUGAGACGCAGAUCCCUGCUGUGAACAUUGAGGAGGAAGAGGAGGAUGGGGGACACAUUACCUGGGGGUCACCUACACCACAAGCUGGGACCUGUUUGAGACUCCUCUGCAGUCUAGCCAGUCCUGACAGCUGAGCAUAAGUGAACCCGAUACAGGGGAAGGAACCUUAGCUGCUGCCUUUGUGGCCUUAAGGAAGUGGUCACCAACCCAUUGAUCAUGAUCGACUGGUUGAUCCUGGAGCCUCUGCCAGUCAAUCGCAAUCUUCAGGCCACUAAAAGUCUGGUGGCUCAGCAGGCCUCAGGCAGGCUGCCUGCAUGCCCUGGCCCCAUGCCGUUCCCGGAAGCAGCCGUCUGCUGGCACAUCCCUGUGGCCCCUGGGGGGGAGAGGUGGUUCCCAGCCAAUGGGAGCUGCAGGGACAGUGCUGGGGACAGGGGCAGUGUACGGACACCUGCUGCCCCGCUCCCCCUGCAGGGGCCGCAGAGACAUGCCAGCAGCCAGCCGCUUCUGGGAGCAGCGUGGGGCCAGGCCAGUCAGGCAGUCUGCCUGAGCUCCACUGCGCUGCCACCUGGGAGACAUCUGUGCUUCAGAAUGACCUGAUCACGGUGAGGAGAAAAGAGGACACGGGAGGAUAUGCUCUCAGAGAUCCUGCAAGCCAGUGCUGCACUGGACCAUGAACAGAGGGCCUGGUGGGUGAAUAUUUCAAACACUAUGGAGAAAGGCCCAGGAGCCCCAUCAGGAAAAGGAGAGGGAGAUGCAUCAGGACAAAAUGUGGCUUCUCUGGCCCAAACAGAUACUGCACACUCUUGUGGACCUAUAGGUUCAACAAGCAUGGGCUUGCCUCCCUUUACAGUCAAUGGAGAACUACCUCACGCCCAGCCCCCAACAUUCCCCGUGGCAUCUGGGGCAUCAUCCCUACCCCUCCCACUCCAUGUCAGGGAACAGGAAGGACAAGCAUAGCUUCACAUACACUGACCUGCAAGUUAUAUAGUUAUACCAGUACGACCUAUAGCAUGGAUGCAGUUAUACCAGUAUAAAGAUGCCUUAUACCACUCUAUAAGAGCUAGGCAUUAUUAUUAUAGCUUAUUCCUCUUACCAUAAAGGAAUAAGCUCUACCAGUAUAACCACAUUUAUAUUGGUAUAACUACAUCCACAGUAGAUUACUUAUUACACUGGUAUAGUCAUAAUGGUACAACUUUUGGGUAUAGACACAGCCUUUGGCUAAUGAGAAAUGGUGAGUACAUAUUAGAUACACGUUUAGGGCCUGAUCCUUCACUUGUAGGUGCUUAAGAAAUGCAGGAUAAGACCCUACUGUAAAUAGUGAAUGAAUAACUAAUAAACCCCAGCUUCCUAUGGAAUUUAUCUUGCUCCUCAGGAUGCUGAGGAGUAUCAUUCAUUACCAAGGCUAUGAUUUAGUCACAGAUAUUUUGAGUAAAAAUCUUGGAUAGGUCAUGGGCAAUAAAUGAAAAUUCAUGGCCCAUGACCUGUUCAUGACUUGUACUAGAUACCCAGGACUAAAUCUUAUCUAGGGGGUGGGGGUGGCACUGCUCCAGGGGAUGAGAAUGCGGUAGCACCAGCUGCUGGAGCCACCAAGGCCAGCGGAACCAACUGCCGGGGGCCACUGAGCAGUGGCUGCCCCUGGGGCUGCCCACCUACCGCUGCUCCUGGGACCGCUGCUCAGGCAGUCCCUGGGGCCAGCCUCACAGGCCGCUGCUCGGACCUGCCUUGUUAUUCUUGUUAUACCAAGCAGCAGCUGGUGCGGCUGGCUGCGGAGCCACUCCAGCAGCAGCUGGUGUGGUUGUCCUUGGGACCAGCUGCUUGGGCAGCCUUGAGGUCAGCCACGCUGGCCACUGCAGAAGUCAUGGAAGUCGUGGAAAGUCACAGAAUCAGUGACUUCCACGUCCUCCGUGACAGAUACAGAGCCCUAUUCAUUACACAUAGUUGUUAGCAUUUAGUGGAAUUUGCGUCUAGAGACUAAAGGUUAAGUUAGUGCUAGAACCUGAAGUCUCUCUGAGCAGCGUCAGCUGGUGCUGCCUCCAAAUUCAGGGCGGGUCCACAAUCGUGUCCUAAGCUCCCUGUUAUAAAGCUACCUUUUGGAGGGUUUUUUCACUUGACUACUUUAUCUAGCUUAAAUAUGAUACUUUGAAUACAAGUUCUAUACCAAAGAGCAAAUGUUCUUACAUAGUGUCAGUAAAAUCAGUUUAUUUGUUUUGUUAAACUAUCAAACUACUCCCACUUCAAUCUUUGUAUCUCAUUUUCUUAGGAAGGUGGGGAAAGGCAAAUUUUUAAAGAAACUCUUCUGCAUGCGUUUUGAUUUUCCUCUA